Rhipicephalus microplus (southern cattle tick) is the source of this 2092-nucleotide long non-coding RNA. The record is from RefSeq and is a predicted model, not a curated record. NCBI's taxonomy places the organism in Eukaryota, Metazoa, Arthropoda, Arachnida, Ixodida, Ixodidae.
GUUGAGUCUGAGUUGGAAGAUAUUGGCAACAUGGAUCACUGCGAAACAAAACAUGAGUGCAUAAAGUACCCCCGUGUCGAAAGUGGCAUCAAAACUCCCGGCUAGGAUCUGCCAGGGAGGAUGGAAAGAGCUCUCUUCCAAAUGUACGUGGGCAAAGAUCCAUUUGCAGCACGAAGGCUCGGUGCCGUAGACAGGCACCUGUCAGGCAAAAUCUGCGAAGUCCGCCCAGCCAUGGCGGGACACAAGAGGUCUAAGAGCACUGGAAAUGCGUAGAGGCAUGAAAAAGCUGGUGCGAUUGCUUGCCUCAAGACCUGUUCGCUUCAUCCUGUGGAGCCGCUAUACCUGCCUCGGGAGACUCCCGGAUUUCAACUGUCUUUUCCGUUUGUACAGUUGUCAUGAAAAUCUCCCUGAAAUCGAAAUCUUUGUGCGUGAUCUGACUUCACUGACAAAAAUGCAGAUCAAUCCGCUCCAGGCUUUUCGCAAACCGCGUUAGAUACGAAUUCGUGAAAUUUCUCAGCAAAAUUUCACUGUGUUCAUUGAACCGAAAUUCUAAUGCCUUGAACAGUUUUCAUUAUGGAGGUAGGUGAACUUUUGUAUAGAAACCGUCGAACGUAGGCUGAAAGCAGCGUGCUAAAAUCUGAAAUAGUUUGCGUGCGAUCAGAGCACGCACUGUCUUCUACAUACAGUACGUGUAGUUGUCGUUGCCACAACCGCGGUUGUUUUUGACACGACCAUGUAUGGUGACAACAUAAGUGACAGAACUCUGAAAGUGUGCGUACGUACAUUGCUUAACCAUUCAAACCAACGCUGCUUUCCGCAAACUCUGUGAAUAAAAACGUUGCAGAUGCUAUCGUAGAUGACACUAAGACUUAGUUUUUAAGGCAUGUGCGCAGCCAGCACACACGGGUUGAAAACGGAACAACCAUUCGCCGCAACCGCCGCGCACAAUGCCGUGAAUGAGCUCCGAGGGCACGCAACUAACGCAGCGGUGGAUUAAAGGCAGUAAAGACAAAAAAAAAAAAAGGCUGGAAGUGUUUUGGCGUACUUGUUGGAAGAAUGAAGUAGUAAGCAAAGCUUUUUGAUCUGCACUUUUGUGGCAGCUAGCUGCGCUGUCUCGUCUGUUCACGUGUGUCCCAGGUAGACAUACGCGAGUUGUUUUGAUGGAAACAGUUUUUGCUAGUUGUUUUUGUGUCAUGAAGUUUCGGGAGUAUUUGUGCUCUCACUUUGAGACUUUCACCUCUCUCGCUUUUUGUGCGUGCAUUUGGGACCCUUCCCACCCCCAGAUUUUGUUUUGUUUCUCGCAAUGUUUUUUUUUUGCUUUUGGUGCAAAAAAAUUGGGACAAAUAAUUCAGUGUGAAACCCUUCCUUGCGGAAAUCUCCUGGAUUCAGAAUCCUUGAACUUGGCAGGUAUGCUGCUUCUUCUGAAUGUGGUCAAUCGGAUUUCAAGUGCACCAAAGCCAUUAUGACCUUGCUGGACAAAUAUUAUAGAGAGUGCAUUGCAUUGACACCUUCUUACUUCAAACUGUCACUUGGGUACCUGUCCAGUUUGAAAUAAUGGAAUUGUGAUUAGCAGAAGUAAUGAAGAAAGAAACUAUGCAUGAUCAUUAAAGGAGAGGAGUCACAUUUUGAGCUGUUCAUUACCUUUCAUUAAAAUAAAAUGAUCAUGAUUGGCAUUAUUUUUCUUUUUGUUCACGUUUCUUGGAAAGGGAUUGCAAUCACUGCUUGAGUAGUCUGGUGGGGCACUUGUGAAGUAUUGUAUUGCUGCAGGUUCUCUUCGAGACGUGUGGGGUGAAGCUUGGGACGGUGAUCAUUACACGCAGUAAAAGAUAUUUUGCCUUUUGUUUCAGAAGUAAUUAUUGUUAAACUUGCUCUUAUUAAACUAUAGUACUUGCUUGCACUAAGAGAGAAAAAAAAACCCAUGUGGAAUCUUUGUUGGGAGUUAUCUAAGCAAUGCGCAAGUGUUGUGCAUUAUUAGCCAUCUCCGUGUCCCUCCCUGUACCCUCUGCGUUUUUUGUGUAACAAAAUCAAAUAAAUAAUGAACACCUAUGCUUGGAUUGCCCUCUUUGAGCAAAGUUUGCAUGGUGUCUUUCUA